This 468-nucleotide ribosomal RNA is filed under the name uncultured bacterium. Its description in RNAcentral is "partial 16S ribosomal RNA". It matches the Rfam family "Bacterial small subunit ribosomal RNA", at positions 28 to 507 of the family's 1533-position model. The record is from RNAcentral.
GACGAACGCUGGCGGCGUGCUUAACACAUGCAAGUCGAACGGAAAGGCCCUGCUUUUGUGGGGUGCUCGAGUGGCGAACGGGUGAGUAACACGUGAGUAACCUGCCCUUGACUUUGGGAUAACUUCAGGAAACUGGGGCUAAUACCGGAUAGGAGCUCCUGCUGCAUGGUGGGGGUUGGAAAGUUUCGGCGGUUGGGGAUGGACUCGCGGCUUAUCAGCUUGUUGGUGGGGUAGUGGCUUACCAAGGCUUUGACGGGUAGCCGGCCUGAGAGGGUGACCGGCCACAUUGGGACUGAGAUACGGCACAGACGCCUACGGGAGGCAGCAGUGGGGAAUAUUGCACAAUGGGCGGAAGCCUGAUGCAGCAACGCCGCGUGCGGGAUGACGGCCUUCGGGUUGUAAACCGCUUUCGCCUGUGACGAAGCGUGAGUGACGGUAAUGGGUAGAGAAGCACCGGCCAACUACGUG